Molecule: ribosomal RNA, 253 nt
Filed under: uncultured bacterium
Lineage: Bacteria
Description: partial 16S ribosomal RNA
Rfam family: Bacterial small subunit ribosomal RNA
Source: RNAcentral
UACGGAGGGUGCAAGCGUUGUUCGGAUUCACUGGGUAUAAAGGGUGCGUAGGCGGCCUCGUAAGUCAGAGGUGAAAGCUGUCGGCUCAACCGACAAAUUGCCUUUGAGACUGCGAGGCUUGAGUCCGGGAGAGGAAGGCGGAAUUCCAGGUGUAGCGGUGAAAUGCGUAAAUAUCUGGAGGAACACCGGUGGCGAAGGCGGCCUUCUGGUCCGGUACUGACGCUGAGGCACGAAAGCCAGGGGAGCAAACGGG